This is a long non-coding RNA of Cyprinus carpio (common carp), 1435 nucleotides long. Lineage: Eukaryota; Metazoa; Chordata; Actinopteri; Cypriniformes; Cyprinidae. The record is from Ensembl.
CACAAACCAACAUUUUGUGCCAAUAUAAUUGUGCGAAAAACUACAUUAUUUAAUUGACCAAACUGCUGAAGCAUGUGCUCAUAUUGAAUGCAAUUUUACUGUUUCACUACAGUUUUUUCUGAUAUAAAAGGCAUGCUAGUGUCACAAGGUGACGAUCUUUAGGGGCGGAACCAAAAUUCGGGAAGUUUGGUUCCGCCCGGAAGUGUUUCCGCCCGGACCGGAAAAACAGAACACCGGAAUUUCCGGUAGCGCCGUAAGAAGGAAAAUCAGGGAAUUCGAUGCACCUGUGCCUAGUUAGGGACAGCGGUUGGUGAUUGGAGGAUACGCUGGACAAGGCAGUACUUAAGGCCAAGUUAUUUCACAGUCUGGGAGCUCUUUCUGGCUGGAAUUGUAUGAUUGUGAAGACAUCGCGAACCUUAAAGGUUGAGAAGUGAACGGAUUAUACGGCGAACUGAGACGACGUGAAAAAGGGGAUUGGAAGCGGCAUUGAUGUGAGUACUAAGAGCCAGUCGAAAGUGCCCUGUAUAUUGACCUGGCGUUGUGUAGAUCUCUCCAGGAGGAGGAGGGCGGCCCUACCCCUAAUAUAGCGUGGUGGGAGAGCCGAAGGAAUACUUAUUGAAGUAGUCACAACGACGACAUCACUAGCUAGGCCGCAUAUUCCAUCGCCAGAUCCGAACCAAGCGAAGUGAAGGAAGACGGGUGUCCUUUUCGUACACUGAGUGUGGUGGGUGAGUCUUCAUGCUGUGAAAACCUAUAAUUUUGACGUGGUGCUGUAUAUUGCUGUGGGCUGCUGUGUAUUGCCGUGUGUCCUGUCAGAUAAACCCCCGCCUUCACGCACUUCGUCGCGGGAGGACAAGGAGACUGCUGGUCCUAGCCUAGUUCAGUACAGUAUAUGUUGUGAGCGUGCUUCAGAUCUCCGGAGAUAGCACAGUACGCUGUGUCCAGCCCAGAGGUGAAAGCCAUCCAAAGCAGAGUAACUGUGCUUUGCGUCCAAGUUGAUACCUGUGGAGAGGAAAGGAAAGAGAGAUUGAUACCUGUGGAGAGAAAAGGAGAGAGAGUGGGUAACACGAGGAGAGACCGAGGAAACCUGUACUUACGCCGCUGCCUGUGGAGAAAGAGAAAGCGACCGUUGCCUGUGGAGGAAGAGAAAGAGAGUGAGCACCCCGAGAACGAACUGUGUGAACCAGUACUUACCGUGAGCUGUAUUCAGCGAAGAGGAGGAAGAAGGAGGGCGCUACGGAUACCUAAGACUCAGGCCGGGGCCCGAGUCCCACGCCCCGGAUCCCCGUGGCCCCCUUGCUCCCUGACCUCUUCCCGGCCAUAGCCCAUCUGGAGGGCCGAGUCAGAGUUUAGUUUUAAUUGCCCUUUCCCUAUUCCCCAAGCUAUUUUUAAAUAUUUAAAUAAAGAUUGUUUUAUCACUUACUUGUUCUCGUGU